Molecule: transfer RNA, 76 nt
Filed under: Gammaproteobacteria bacterium
Lineage: Bacteria; Pseudomonadati; Pseudomonadota; Gammaproteobacteria
Also listed under: 2 other names
Description: tRNA-Arg
Rfam family: tRNA
About the family: Transfer RNA (tRNA) molecules are approximately 80 nucleotides in length. Their secondary structure includes four short double-helical elements and three loops (D, anti-codon, and T loops).
Source: RNAcentral
GCCCCGGUAGCUCAGGGGAUAGAGCGUCCGCCUCCUAAGCGGAAGGUCCCGCGUUCGAAUCGCGGUCGGGGCACCA